Astatotilapia calliptera (eastern happy) is the source of this 1099-nucleotide long non-coding RNA. Lineage: Eukaryota; Metazoa; Chordata; Actinopteri; Cichliformes; Cichlidae. The record is from Ensembl.
GGCAUGUUUUGACCUAUUUCGGGCCAUUUUCGUGUUGCUGGGGGGAUGAACUCUGAAUGACCUAUUAAAUAAAAGUGUAAUAUCUUUGACACCUAGCGAUACAAACGAUGAUUUUACCAGCACAAACCGACACAAACGGAGCACUAACCACCCAGUAUUUUUUCUGUUUUUCUUUUUCUCUCAGGUUGCUGGUUGUGGAAUUUGGAGCUGCAGAGAUUUGAGCUGUGCUCCAAAAGUGCAUGUUGAAGGUUAUCACCACAGUUCCACUGCUGUCCACAUUCAUGAGCAGUCUUGACCAGUACUCUGACCAGUUGAUGAAGAUUCUACGAAAAAAAGGAGGGGAAACAGCGCGGCGGAUCACAGCAGCAUUGUCUACAAUUUCACAGCACUCCUAUGCAACAACACUUUUCUUCCUUCUUUCGGGUGGUACACCACGCUAAAGCUGCAUUUUCCACGACCCAAUGUAUUGCAAUCAAUGUAAUUGGACUCAUAACUUAUAAUCUUUAUGGGAGUGAAUUGGUAAGCUUCUCAUUCUCUAACACAAAAUACUACUUGCUUGCAAAAAGCAUGUUUAAAAUUACUUAGAAACAAUUAUGAAUUGGUUAAACAACAAUAAAAAUUGACUUAAGUUCUGUGGGGGUCUCUAAAAACUUCAAAAAAGUAAUUGCGCUGCAUGUGUUGUUUUGUUUAGAGUUCCAGAAUCGAAGUGAAGCGUGAAUAUAUACCUGAAUGAGAACCCUGAAAAUCUCAUCAAAGAGUACAUGGAUUUCAACGUGAUGGAAGCUGAAGAGCUUGAGAGGAUGGAUUUGGCGUGUUUAUAAAAUAAUCCAUGAAGGAGCACAGCCUGAUGACUCCCUUGAAGAUGUUGGCAUCAUUAUCGAGAGAUGCACCGUCUUGCAGGAUCUUCACGAUGUGGCGAGCGGGUGUGCACUUUUGUUUGGGCUAAUUUACUGCCUCAAUCUGAGUUACCCAAAGCCACUUCGCUACACAUUUGAGUUCUUCCAGAAGGUGCUCAUGGGACUGGAAGACAAAAAACUGUCUAACAAAAUACAAGUGCUGAAGAACAAACUCUGCCAAAAGGAGACGCAAUGACUCUUUC